UACGUAGGGUGCGAGCGUUGUCCGGAAUUACUGGGCGUAAAGCGUGCGCAGGCGGUUUUGUAAGCCAGAUGUGAAAUCCCCGGGCUUAACCUGGGAAUGGCAUUUGGGACUGCAAGGCUGGAGUGCGGCAGAGGAGACUGGAAUUCCUGGUGUAGCAGUGAAAUGCGUAGAUAUCAGGAGGAACACGGAUGGCGAAGGCAGGUCUCUGGGCUGACACUGACGCUCAUGCACGAAAGCGUGGGGAGCAAACAGG
This 253-nucleotide ribosomal RNA is filed under the name uncultured bacterium. Its description in RNAcentral is "partial 16S ribosomal RNA". It matches the Rfam family "Bacterial small subunit ribosomal RNA", at positions 524 to 776 of the family's 1533-position model. The record is from RNAcentral.